AGAAAAACAUCCAGAGACCUUGCCGGCAAUUGAAGACAGCGAAGGUCACCCGGGUGACCAACGGUCGUAUCCCAAUCGGAUACAAUGAGCGACAUCGGGUAGCACCAAUGGUAGAGUAGCAUAGUGCAUUGGCCCACGACAUUGGGCAUGUCGUGCGGACCUUUUUCCCUAUGCGGUGGAAGUCUUGGAAGGCGAUUCCGGAGGAGAUGAAGAACACGGUGCGCAACCAAUUGUCUACAAACUACAAUUUGGUGGACAUGGACGAUGACAUGUUCGUGUACCUCAAUCGGCUCUUCUCAGAAGGCUACAAGCAAUGGAAGAGUGACCUGCACCAAUGUUUCCAGCAAUUUGAUGAUCCGUAGGUUGCUCUAGAGGAGGGUUGUUCGAAGGAGUUGGAGGACCGACAAGACAAUUGGGUUUGGCUUUGCGGUCAUUUUCAGGAGCCGAGCUAUGUGAAGAAGGCGAAGACGAACAAGAUAAAUCGGGAGAAAAAGACUAUUCUCCACCAUUCGGGUUUGAGGCCUUUCUCCUAUAGGAUGGAGGCGCGACGGAAGGAGGGUUCAAAAUUUCCGGAGAUCGACGUCUUUUGCUGACGUUUAUGUUCGGCCUGGGAAUGAGUUGACUGAGUCCCUUCAUGCCACUAUGGUGGAGAAUAGUCAGUCGGUGCUUCAAGUGUCUGCCUCCCAGCUUCCCUCGGACAUGUCGAUUGAGUCUGUGGAUCCUCUUGAGGAUGCAGGGUUUCACAUCAUCACAGAGACGUUGGACCAGACUUUCGGUCGGAAGCCAGAGACUUAUUGUCGGGGGAUGGGAAAUGCCAGGAGGUAGGAGAGUAAAGCCUCGUCAUCCUUGCAGUCAAAGGGUCAGGUUACGGCUUUAGCGCAAGAAGUCACUGGCCUGAGGAGUGAGCUGGCAUCGUAUAAGUCUCAAAUGUCGAUGCUUGUACAAGCCCUCAGUUCCUCCAGAAUACAUCUCCCUGGUUUUUUUGCACCAUUGCCCUCACAACCCUUCCACAUCGAGCAAGCACAGCAAUCAGGCCCGUCGACCUUUGACCCCGUCCCCGACCAACACCAAGAUCAUUCGAACGACACUCCUAUAGAUUUUUCCGCCUUUUUUUCAUAGUUUUGUUCCUGCUUUCUUUGAUAACUUCA
Long non-coding RNA from Malus domestica (apple), 1148 nucleotides. RefSeq lists it as uncharacterized. Lineage: Eukaryota; Viridiplantae; Streptophyta; Magnoliopsida; Rosales; Rosaceae. The record is from RefSeq and is a predicted model, not a curated record.